Long non-coding RNA from Schistocerca cancellata (South American locust), 306 nucleotides. RefSeq lists it as uncharacterized. NCBI's taxonomy places the organism in Eukaryota, Metazoa, Arthropoda, Insecta, Orthoptera, Acrididae. The record is from RefSeq and is a predicted model, not a curated record. The transcript is spliced from 2 exons.
CCAGUCUCCAGCAAGUCCCCGCUUCGAGGCUCAUCGCUACACUAUGAAGGCUUUCGUGUUUGCGCUGCUGCUGUUGGCCGCUGUGGCGACCGCGCUGGCGGGCCCGCUGCCGCUGCCUGUGCCCGUGGCCUUCCCGGCUGAGGCCCGCGAGACGCUGCGCCCCAGCGAGCAGCUCUACUACUACGGCUACCCCUACUACGUGGUGGGCUAGGCGCCCGCUGCACCUCGACUCACGGCUUCCACGACCAUCGGCUUCGCUUGCACCUCUCCAUCCCCCACUGGUCAAUAAACUCUCUCUCUUAGCAA